UCUAGGUUUAGAUCUUGAUACAUACACCCUUCUGAUCCAUGGUCUUUGUAGGGUCGGUGAAACUGACUGGGCUUAUCGACUGUAUGAUCAGAUGGUAGGUAGUGAAAUCGUACCUAGGCGUAAAACAUGUGAAUUGCUUUUGAGUGAAACACAAAGACAAAACAUGGAGGCGUAUGUGGAAAGAAUCAGGAAUGAUACAAUUUCCUUUGGUCUUUGUCCAUAACUUUGAGAGAAUUACCCUCUUCUAUGUGAUUGAUUUGUUAAUUGCUAGUGACCAGUUAAUACUACUGAACAAUCUGUAACUUAGCAUAGACUAGAAGUCAGGAAGCAUCUUCAGACAACAGAAGAUUGCCCAUCGUCUACUGUUUUACUGCAAGAAUAAGUUGCAAGAUUAUCUUAUACUUUUAUCAGCAUAUUAUAGCAAGAUUGAAAUCAUCAUUUGACUUCAGAAUUUCAGUUGAUAAUCCUUGUACAAAGACAUGGUGCACAUGCUAUGCUAUUACAAUUGGCAUUGGCUUUUUAAUGGAUAGUAGUGAGCUGGAUUUAAUUGUGACACCUAGUUGUAUUGUGUCGUCAUAUUAUGUAAUAUGAUAUUAAUGUUGUACAUACCUGUAUAUCAUGUCAAACUGUGCAGGCACAAAAAUAUUUUCUGCAUUGUACAUGUUGAUUCACUUCUUGUGUAUUCGAGAAAACAAUAUGCUUGCUGUUUAAAUUGGAGAAUUCAUAAGUCUGGUUCAAAUAGAAGCCUACUG
This 752-nucleotide long non-coding RNA is filed under the name Setaria italica (foxtail millet). RNAcentral describes it as "long non-coding RNA (SITA_LNC000540)". Lineage: Eukaryota; Viridiplantae; Streptophyta; Magnoliopsida; Poales; Poaceae. The record is from RNAcentral.